RNAcentral lists this ribosomal RNA (236 nucleotides) under uncultured bacterium. RNAcentral's name for it is "partial 16S ribosomal RNA". It matches the Rfam family "Bacterial small subunit ribosomal RNA", at positions 524 to 758 of the family's 1533-position model. The record is from RNAcentral.
UACGGAGGGUCCCAAGCGUUAUCCGGAUUUAUUGGGUUUAAAGGGUCCGCAGGCGGGAAAAUAAGUCAGUGGUGAAAUCCUACAGCUUAACUGUAGAACUGCCAUUGAUACUGUUUUUCUUGAGUAUAAUUGAAGUGGGCGGAAUGUGUCAUGUAGCGGUGAAAUGCAUAGAUAUGACACAGAACACCGAUUGCGAAGGCAGCCCCUGGGAGUAACACUGACGCUCAUGCACGAAA